AUGUUGUUUAUGUUAAAACAACUUCUUUGAGAUGAUGAUCACAAUGACUGAAUUGUAAAGGUCUUGCCAUUUCCUGCCAUUCAGUUAUAAGCCAGGUGUCUACCACACAGAUGGUGAUUACAUCAGGUUCCUGGUUCCAGAGAAUUUGCCAAAUCAACAUUGAUGACAAAGUCUGAGCUUUAUUUAAAUGUUCUUUUCCAUUCCGUGUCAAGGCAGGCCUUCGGAAAGGAUGUUCAAUUCUCCUUACCUGGAGUAAGGAGAUAUGCAACCAUUUCUGGUAUUGCUGUAAGACUGCACAGAACACUAAUCAGUUCGGUGAUAUGUGGACAGGUCUUCUCCACCAUGUUCAAGGAGAGCAUGAGUGGGCCCUAUGUUGCUGUGAACAUGGCCCCUUGUCCGCCGACAGGGAGAAGGAGUGGAUCCAGAGUGAUUCUGAGACCUUUCAGUUACUGUCAGAAAUAGUGCUGGAUGAGCACUGGCUGAAGAAUGUGGAGAAAUUCCUGAGUUUCAGGUCAACCGCUGAGCUGGAAUCCUUCCAUAAUCAUUUACUGAUGUAUGCCAGCAAGCGAUUCAGCUUUAGCCCACCUGUUUACAAAGCACGCACCCUCUUAGCAGCGUGGGACUAUAACCAUCAUGUUCACAGACCGGUGAAGAGGAAGGCUGAUGGCUCAAUAGAGUACUGCAAGCUCUACAAUAAAAAGUCAAAGACUUGGAGUCUAUACACAGUGAAGGUGGAGAAGGACUACGGAUACAUGGCAGACCUGCAGAGUGCUAUCCUAGAAGCCCGGCUGACAUCAGACAAGGGUUUGCCAAAGACCAGAGAAAAAAAAAGGCCUAAUGACCCACGGCAAUAUGGGGUUCUUGCAAGCAUCCCACCUCCCACCACCCAGGACCUGUU
Long non-coding RNA from Gadus macrocephalus (Pacific cod), 898 nucleotides. RefSeq lists it as uncharacterized. The record is from RefSeq and is a predicted model, not a curated record. NCBI's taxonomy places the organism in Eukaryota, Metazoa, Chordata, Actinopteri, Gadiformes, Gadidae. The transcript has 4 exons.